This is a long non-coding RNA of Lytechinus variegatus (green sea urchin), 793 nucleotides long. RefSeq lists it as uncharacterized. NCBI's taxonomy places the organism in Eukaryota, Metazoa, Echinodermata, Echinoidea, Temnopleuroida, Toxopneustidae. The transcript has 3 exons. The record is from RefSeq and is a predicted model, not a curated record.
GUGAAGCUCGUAUAUCAAAGUGGGAUCGGACUGGUGGUUGCUACAUAAACAGCCAUCAAAUCCUUUAUCAAAACGCCUUCUUUUAGCUUAUAUUUUGAUGUUUCUAGUCUGAGGUCUAUGCAUUGGACAUAUGGAGAAUAUUUUGUUGCACUCGAGGUUGUUAUUGGACUGGUAGUUCACGAUUUCAAAAAUUAAACCGAUAGCGUCGCAUCACACAUUUUUUUUUAUUGCGAGUAGCCUCCCGAGGAGAUGCUGUUUGCGACGCCGUGGGAUUCCCGUUAUGAAGCUGUCAACACCCGUUGAUUGUCCCGAGCCAGGCCAGAGGAUGCGUGAGAGAUGAAGGCUAUCAAACACCAUGUUCUCAAGACCUUUAGGGUUGGAGCCACUAAUGGCAAGGACUAUGAAUCAGAUGGUGGCAAGACAAACUCUAGUUUGUCUCAAUCUGAUCUUAGCCUGAAUGCAGAGGAUAUGACAAGUUUCAAAUCAAACUCACCAAGAACAGUGGACACUGCAUCAACCUCAGGUAAGGAUCUGUAAUGUGAUUGUUAAAGAACUUAAACUUGCCCGAAAAGUCCCAAUUGUAAAGAUUUGAAUAACACUCCCAUUAUGUUGUAGUGUAUUUGGAAUUUAAAGUUAUCUUCUGCAAAGUGCCCAUUUUACAAAAGGUUUUUUUGUGUGUGUCCUCUUUCCGUUAUACAUUUCCAUUUCUUAAGUAUCGAUUAAGUUUUUCUUCUCACUCAACAGUAUGUGGAUUUGGGAAUCCAACAUUUUCAUAUGAUUAUUACCAGUAAAA